AGUCUUAUAUUCAAAAAUGAUAUGAAAUUGCAAAUUUUAAGGAGUAAUAAUUACUAAGGCUU
RNAcentral lists this transfer RNA (62 nucleotides) under Colias croceus (clouded yellow). RNAcentral describes it as "tRNA-Cys". Lineage: Eukaryota; Metazoa; Arthropoda; Insecta; Lepidoptera; Pieridae. RNAcentral also lists the same sequence under 4 other names. The record is from RNAcentral.